RNA transcript from Populus trichocarpa (black cottonwood), 3536 nucleotides. RefSeq lists it as uncharacterized. Lineage: Eukaryota; Viridiplantae; Streptophyta; Magnoliopsida; Malpighiales; Salicaceae. The transcript is spliced from 2 exons. The record is from RefSeq and is a predicted model, not a curated record.
CUCUGCUCUCUGUUCCCUUUGCUCUUGUUCUUGCGUUAAUUAUUAUUAUUAUGGCUUUGAAAGUUUAGCGUAUGUAAUGUAAUAGUUGAUGGUUGCUGUCUCUGGAUGUUUGCAUGCAGACUGUACCAGUUAACCCUAAGCCCUUUUUGAACAAUUUGACUGGAAAGACUGUUACUGUCAAAGCUUGAUGCAAAUGGGAUACAAAGGUUUUCUUGCUUCUGUUGAUUCAUACAUGAACCUCCUGGCACUGCCUUUCCUUUUCAAUUUCGUAUCUAACUUCUGAACAUGCAUGUUUUUUUUUCAAAUUAAAUUUUAUUUCUUUAUGUUACGUUAUUUUGGGUUGUAGGAAUCCCUUUUGCAAUUUCAGAUUUUGUUAAUGAGCUUUGUACUAUUAAUGGAAUGUGAUUUGCAGCUGGGAAAUACUGAAGAGUAUAUCGAUGGACAGUUCAUUGGAAAUUUGGGAGAGAUUUUGAUCAGGUAACUUAAACCAAGAGUUGAUUCAUAAGUUUAUAUGUUAUUGGUAUGUGUUUUUUGGCAUGAAAACUAAGCUCGAAGAGAACUGCAAAGCUCCUUUAAAUUUCAAGAACAAUGGGUACAAGUAAAGCUCUUUGGUCUUUAACUGAUUGUAUCUUAAAAAAAAAAAUUAUGUAUCUCCAUUUCCUCAAUAAUUGGGUAAAGCCUUUUGUACGUUGUUGACUUGUUAAAGAAGUAGGAUAUUUGCUCCGCUGUUAAGAUUUUUAUAUUUGUCUCUCUUUUUUUAUGGUUAAUAUCAAACAUGCUAAGCUAAGAUUGCACAUUUACCAUUCAUCUAUAGACUAGAAUGAUAGAGUAGUAACCUGCUUUAAAAGUUGGGAAGAGAUAAGUUUUAACUCAAUUGCUGAUUAUUGAGGCCUUAGAAACUUGGUUCUGAUGACAGUGAUGUGUGCAGUAAUUGUGUAAACUCUUGCACGCCAUCAUGAGAGUACUGUUUCUUUACUGAAAUGUUUGACCUGAGAUGAAGAACAAUGAAGAGUUAGAAUUUAUCCCCAUGAAGAAGGAGAUGUUGGUGUUAUAACUAAAAGAGGGAAAUACUCUUAGCUUACCAUGAGAUUAAAGCUGUUAAGAAAAAAGGUAGAGGGUCAGAUAUUAGCAUAUUUGUCCUUGUGAAAGCUAGCGCUUAUGCCCAUGAGGAAAAGAAUCAUGGCACUACAAACAAAAGAGAGAAAUGCCUUAAAGUUGAAGCUUACCAUGACACUAAAAUUGUGAAGACUAAAGACUGAGAGUGUGUGUUCAUUAGCAUGACCUGUCCUUGAGGGAUCCUAGAACUUGUUCUUGUGGUAAUUUGUUCCAAGAGCUUGUCUAAUUCUUACAAGAACGUUUAGGAAAUUAAGGUUUCUAAUUUUCUAGUAUCUUGUGUGCUUAAAUAGACUCGAUGAAUGCUAUCUAUAUGUCACUAUGCAUUUGAAGUGUGGCAUCUAUGGUAGGGUUUUUUUCCUUCAAAGUAAUGUUGCGAGCUUUAUGGGUGAAGGACAGGAUUCAGCUGUGAGAUAGUUAUGAGGUAACAGAUGUUGUCAAAUUAAAAAGUUCUCUAAAAUCAUUUGUGCAACUAGGGACAGAGGGGUUACAGUUUUGAAACCAUGAUUAGAAAGAAUGGCUGUGAGAUAUCUUCCUUAGGCAUUAGUCACUUUUUAAGAACUAACCGAUUUUGUACAAAGGCUAGGUUAAAUGCUAAAUGGGAGUAGCUUUCUCUCCUAAAAAUCUAGUUACUCGUGUAACUGAAGUAUAAUUAGUAACACCAGCAGGUUUUUAUUUUAAAUAUACCACUGUUGAAUUAGAGCUGUUUUGUAUUGUGUUCAGAAGAACUUUAAGCCUAAAUAUGCUCUCAAACCUGUCUGACAACUGAGUUUGAUACCCACAAAGCCCUUUGAAGUUUUUUCUAGUGUAAAGCUCCAUAUGAAACCUUUUGUUGGUUCUUCUUGCUGUUACUUUAUGAAAGAAAAUAAUGAUUUUCAUAAAUUAUGCUAAUAUUUGCAUGUCAAUGAUUAGAUUACUACUUUUGUUGUUUUGUCAUUUGAAUCAGUUUUGACAUAAGGCUUUCCGAAGCAUAUGUUACCAUACACUUCUACCUGCCUCAACUGUACCUAACACCAAUAGAAAAGGCAACAUUACUACUAAAUGAACCCUUAGCAUGUAAUAUCUUUCUUUAUGUUCAAAGCUUUCAAAGGUUUAGCCUCUUUUUGAAACUUGUGUGUUGAACAUGGAAAGUAUAGGGAAUAUCUUUUCCAAAAUCUUGAGACAAUGGGAGAAAUAUCGAUUGAUUUAGAUGCUUGGAACCAAUAGAAAGCUGGGAAUAGAAGCUGAAACAGUGUCAGGGAGAAAAAAAGGCUUAAGCCUAAGAUGGCUAUUAAUGAUUUGACUUUGUAAUUAUUAGUAUACGCAACAACACAUAGGUAUGGUGGACUAAACUCAGAACUGGUGAUAUUUUGUUACGUUAUGGUCUCAAAUAUGUUGGAAGUUCAAACAUGUUAUGGUUGUUUUGUGGUGUUAUAACUUUGAGAACUAUCUGCAAUGUUCAGUGAGGUCUACUAGUUUACAAACUCCUUUUUUCUAUUUACUUCCAUGUUUCAUGCUUCCAAAUUUACGAGCAAAAGCUAAAAUUACUUUCAGUUAAUGAUUAUAAUAGAGCUGGAUUCCUUUGUAUUGGUCUAUAAUAAAGUACGAGGUGGAAGAUGGACAUAAGAUGCAGAUACUGUAAAGUCUUUUUAUUUCAUGGUUGUGUAGACCUAGAAGUGGAGUUUUUUUUUUCCCUUCCAGCAAUUGUAAAAGAAAUAUGUUAAAGGCUACUCUGGAAGAUUUUAUGCAAUUUAAUACAUCCAUAAAGCAUAGUAAUAAAAGACAACAAUGAAGCAUGCAUUUAUCUCUACAUUGAAAAUGUCUACUCCAAACAGGCAACCUUUUGUGUAUUACACACAUGCAUCACUGCAUAUUUGUAUUUGUUGUUCUUCUAUAGGUUGUAGGUUAGAAGUGCAGGUAGAGUUCCAGACACCUAUAGUCAAAGUGGCGCAUAAUUAUGAAGCAAAAGGGAGCUACAGACAAUAUGUUAUGACCACAAACAAAAUAGUGCAUUAAAUUUUGGUUUCUAUAAUACCUUUGUAUGUUAUAAUGUAUGUUGCUUUUGCAUGUCAUUAACUCUUCAAACAGCUAUUGAGAUGGUCAUUUAGUUAGGACUUAGGAGUGCUAAAUGUCUCAUAACCUCUAAAAAUAUUAUUUUUUAAAUUGCUUUAUUUUGUGCGACAGUGUUUUAGAAUUAAGCUUCAUAUUCCUUGAGAAGAUUUACAGGAUCUGUUUGCAAGUUAUCUGCAGACGCAACAAUGUUCUCUACCUUCAUGGAGUUCCGGAGGAUGAAGAGAUAGAAGAUGCAGAACAAGACUAAGAAGACGUCAUCAAUGUAUGUUCAAUCAUUGAGUUAAUAGAGAACUCCAAUAGUUUUGAUUUUCAUUUCGGAUAUGCUAAUAUUGUACAUGUAUUUUAAUCAGAGUUGUGCUGUUUGCUUUCAA